RNAcentral lists this ribosomal RNA (428 nucleotides) under uncultured bacterium. Its description in RNAcentral is "bacterial SSU rRNA". It matches the Rfam family "Bacterial small subunit ribosomal RNA", at positions 354 to 796 of the family's 1533-position model. The record is from RNAcentral.
GUAGGGAAUAUUGCACAAUGGAGGAAACUCUGAUGCAGCGACGUCGCGUGAGUGAUGAAGGCCUUCGGGUCGUAAAGCUCUGUCGCAGGGGAAUAACACAAUGAAGGUACCCUGUAAGAAAGGAUCGGCUAACUUCGUGCCAGCAGCCGCGGUAAGACGAGGGAUCCUAGCGUUGUUCGGAAUCAUUGGGCGUAAAGCGGAUGUAGGUGGCUAUGUAAGUCAGAUGUGAAAGCCUGGGGCUCAACCCCAGAAGUGCAUUUGAUACUGCGUAGCUUGAGUGUCGGAGAGGUUACUAGAAUUGUUGGUGUAGUGGUGAAAUACGUAGAUAUCAACAGGAAUACCGGAGGCGAAGGCGGGUAACUGGCCGAACACUGACACUGAGAUCCGAAAGCGUGGGGAUCAAACAGGAUUAGAUACCCGAGUAGUCC